RNAcentral lists this transfer RNA (52 nucleotides) under Carpoglyphus lactis (prune mite). RNAcentral's name for it is "tRNA-Ser". Lineage: Eukaryota; Metazoa; Arthropoda; Arachnida; Sarcoptiformes; Carpoglyphidae. The record is from RNAcentral.
AAAGAUAUAAACCAAGACUUCUAAUCUUAAAUUUCCUGUAGGAGUAUCUUAU